UACUGAGGGUGCAAGCGUUAUCCGGAUUCACUGGGUUUAAAGGGUGCGUAGGCGGAUAGGUAAGUCCGUGGUGAAAUCCUGCAGCUUAACUGCAGAACUGCCGUGGAUACUAUCUAUCUUGAAUGUCGUGGAGGUUAGCGGAAUAUGUCAUGUAGCGGUGAAAUGCUUAGAUAUGACAUAGAACACCCAUUGCGAAGGCAGCUAACUACGCGAUAAUUGACGCUGAUGCACGAAAGCGUGGGGAUCAAACAGG
This 253-nucleotide ribosomal RNA is filed under the name uncultured bacterium. RNAcentral describes it as "partial 16S ribosomal RNA". It matches the Rfam family "Bacterial small subunit ribosomal RNA", at positions 524 to 776 of the family's 1533-position model. The record is from RNAcentral.